UCGAAAGCUCCGGCUUUUGCUGUGCCUUGAACCCUUUGAUGUCUGAACCUUUGUUGCUUCCGUCGGGCAAUACUCCCCAACAGGGAUCUUUGACCGAUGGAGGGUAUUUGGGAACUCGGUUGUUUAAAUGUUGUUAGUCUGAAAUGUUUGAGAUGAAAUGCUCAAGAAAACA
RNAcentral lists this unclassified non-coding RNA (172 nucleotides) under uncultured Pezizaceae. RNAcentral's name for it is "sequence contains ITS1". The record is from RNAcentral. Lineage: Eukaryota; Fungi; Ascomycota; Pezizomycetes; Pezizales; Pezizaceae.